This 492-nucleotide ribosomal RNA is filed under the name uncultured bacterium. RNAcentral's name for it is "partial 16S ribosomal RNA". It matches the Rfam family "Bacterial small subunit ribosomal RNA", at positions 29 to 507 of the family's 1533-position model. The record is from RNAcentral.
AGUGAACGCUGGCGGUAGGCCUAACACAUGCAAGUCGAACGGCAGCACAGUAAGAGCUUGCUCUUACGGGUGGCGAGUGGCGGACGGGUGAGGAAUACAUCGGAAUCUACUUUUUCGUGGGGGAUAACGUAGGGAAACUUACGCUAAUACCGCAUACGACCUACGGGUGAAAGCAGGGGAUCUUCGGACCUUGCGCGAUUGAAUGAGCCGAUGUCGGAUUAGCUAGUUGGCUGGGUAAAGGCCCACCAAGGCGACGAUCCGUAGCUGGUCUGAGAGGAUGAUCAGCCACACUGGAACCGAGACACGGUCCAGACUCCUACGGGAGGCAGCAGUGGGGAAUAUUGGACAAUGGGCGCAAGCCUGAUCCAGCCAUACCGCGUGGGUGAAGAAGGCCUUCGGGUUGUAAAGCCCUUUUGUUGGGAAAGAAAAGCAGCAGGUUAAUACCCCGCUGUUCUGACGGUACCCAAAGAAUAAGCACCGGCUAACUUCGUG